RNAcentral lists this ribosomal RNA (468 nucleotides) under uncultured bacterium. Its description in RNAcentral is "partial 16S ribosomal RNA". It matches the Rfam family "Bacterial small subunit ribosomal RNA", at positions 28 to 507 of the family's 1533-position model. The record is from RNAcentral.
GACGAACGCUGGCGGCGUGCCUAAUACAUGCAAGUCGAACGGAAAGGCCCUGCUCUUGUGGGGUGCUCGUGUGGCGAAAGGGUGAGAAACACGCGUGUAACCUCUCCUUGACUUUGGGGUAACACUAGGAAAAUCGGGAUCUUACAGGACAGGACAACCUGUUGCACGGUGGGGGUUGGAAAGUUUCGGCGGUUGGGGAUGGCCUGGUGGCCUUUCAGCUUGUUGGCGGGGUGGUGGCUUACCAAGGCACCGACGGGUCGCCGGCCUGAGAGGGUGACCGGCCACAUUGGGACUGGGGAGCGACCCGGAGUCCUACUGGGGGCAGCGGUGGGGAAUAUAGCGCAAUGGGCGGAAGCCUUAUGCAAGAACGCCGCGUGCUGGAUGACGGCCUUCGGGUUAUAAACCGCUUGCGCCUGUGACGAAGCGUGUGUGACGGUAGUUUAUAAAGAAGCACCGGCUAACUACGUG